RNAcentral lists this small nucleolar RNA (95 nucleotides) under Trichophyton rubrum BMU01672. RNAcentral's name for it is "CD-box snoRNA". It matches the Rfam family "A. fumigatus snoRNA Afu_335". The record is from RNAcentral. Lineage: Eukaryota; Fungi; Ascomycota; Eurotiomycetes; Onygenales; Arthrodermataceae.
UCUAUAUGAUGAUUAUCCUGAUAGGGACAUCUGAUGCUUUGCAUAUGAUGUUACCAGGAAGAGUAUUUUAGUAGAUGCCUCUUUAAUCUGAUGAC